Molecule: long non-coding RNA, 180 nt
Filed under: Chloebia gouldiae (Gouldian finch)
Lineage: Eukaryota; Metazoa; Chordata; Aves; Passeriformes; Passeridae
Description: Erythrura gouldiae (Gouldian finch) lncRNA (ENSEGOG00005005818.1)
Source: RNAcentral
UCCCUUUCCUGGGUUCAGGCUGCUUUGUUUUACAUGAGCACUUAUAUUAACAUCAUUAUCCUUCCCACCAGUGGAUAAGUCAUGUUUUUUCUUACAUGCCAAUGGACCCCGUUCCUUGCUGAGAGCAUAGACGCCAUCAUCAUUUACAGCUGUUCAGGUAAAACCAGAUGCCUACUGUGA